Molecule: long non-coding RNA, 2321 nt
Organism: Hippocampus comes (tiger tail seahorse)
Lineage: Eukaryota; Metazoa; Chordata; Actinopteri; Syngnathiformes; Syngnathidae
Exons: 2
Source: RefSeq, a predicted model, not a curated record
AGAAAGCGGGCGAUUAGGAAGUAGAGCUCUGAAGUCAACUGCGCGAUGUGUGGCCUGUCUGAAGCCAUGUUUUCGGCGUGCUUCGGCGGGGGCAGCGCCGGAGCCGGGCCGCUGGGUGUCGGUGGCUGCCCUGUAGCUGUCACUGUUUAUCCACCAGGAAGAGGCUGCCUCCAUUCAGGCGCUCGAAAACAGGCCCGGCUCGGUUCAGCUCACAGUGCUCCUCCGCGCGGUGACGAUUCUAGAGCCCCGCGGUGGGUUUGGUCGCCAAACACCGUCGUAAAUACCUGGGGACGCAAACCACGAGCAGACGCGUGUUUGUAUGAGGGGGAAAAUAUUGAUUUUAAUGGUCGAGUUUUAAUCUUACGUAGUUGUUUUUAUCCAGAUCCCCCUCCCCCUUCAAAGGGGAAAACGCGAGCCCUCGGCGGAGGGAUAUCAGAGGUGUGUUUCACGCAUAGGCUACUGUGGAGGGGAGCUUGUAAUGGCAACCUACUUCAGGAAGAGAGAAUUUGUUCGUUACUGAAAGUGGUCGAUACCUAACAUCGAGACGACGUUUGACUCGUUAAUAAGUAACGCUUGAGUAUGAAUCGAGCUGCGGAUGGACACUUAAAAUUUUUAGACGUAAAACAUGGCUGCCGAAUCUGCGCGAGAAGGCUAGCUAAUCCCUAAAAGCCAACUUGACGUCGACGUUUGUUUGCUUAAGUGUUCGCUUCGUUUUGGUGUUACUCGAACAAAAUGUUUCGCUAACACACACUCGCCCUCCCCUGAAAGCCUGCUCGGCGCGGAAGAAGUCCAUCUCUUUAUCGCCGCCUGACACUAAAAUGGGGGAAGGGUUGUUAUUGGCGGCAGAGGGGGCAACAACAUAGCCUGAUGAAGGAAAAUCUCGUGAGUUAGUGGAACAGCACGGAAACAUUGGAGUAACAUUAUGGUAAUUAUCACGAAUCCACCGAAGGGACACUUAACUCCUGGUUAUCCUAAAGCAGCUUCAAUUCAUUAAGUGCAUCAAUACACAAAUUAACAGUUGCCAGUAUGUCUCAUAGCUACCAUUCAGUGUACAUAAUCACAGUAAGAUUCACCGACAGCCUUGCUGAAGGGCACGUCAGCAUCCCCCCCAUCAUGUUCCAUGCGUUGUAGGUCUUGACCCUGGAAGAUCCCCAAGCUAAAGCCAAGAACAUUUGACAGUAAAAUGAAAAGUCAUCAAAAUGCAAAGUUUGGUUGGAAAAGCCACUUGAACCUGAGUACAAGGCAGAAAGAAUUUGGAAAAUCGACCUAAGUGUUAAAAACGACACAACUUCAAUAUUUCUCAACAUUCUCCUUGAUUCUUUCAAUUUGUCUCCUAAUCAGGGAACCCCCUUCUCCGAUUAGAUUACAAGUGUCAGUUUAAAUACAUGUAGGUUCAAGAGUCACAUUUAUUUGUGUGAAAAGAAACGGGAGCACCCACCUGAAUUCAUUUUCAGUGUUUGACAAAUGAACACGUCUGAAAAUACCAACCUACAAAUAAAGUGAAGCACCUUUAUGAAAAUGCCGAGACUUUGCAUUUGGCCGGGGCAGUUACAGUGAAAAUGAUGACUCAGUCAUCCCGGCAACCUCAAGCACAGAGGCCACCAACCUUUUUGAAGCCGAGAGCGACUUCCUGGGUACUGAUUAAUGCAAAGGGCUAUGGGGUUCAAUACACACUUAUGAAAUAACAAAUUUGCCCAAAUUGCCUUUAAUAGCCUUACUGUUAUAUUAAUAAUGAAUUCAUUGAUGCAGAGACACUGAUCAUGUUAAUUCUCAGUAGUUAGGAAAUGGAUGAAUAUCAAUAUGUAACACUUCAUCUCUACAAAUCUCUGCCAAUGUUCACAUUUUCAAAUGAUCACUUCGACGACAUUCCUCAGAAAUCACAACGGCCCAUUACUCAUUCAAUCUUUUUAGAACAGACUCACAGGCUACUUAAGUGGUCUUUGGGGCUUACCUGUCGGGCAUCACCUUGGUGAACUCUGCUCGAGACACUGAAAUCAGAAACAUCCCAAAUUGCAAGUAACAGUUGAUCAAAAUGAUCGGUCAAACAAAAGAAUUAGCUAUCCCAGAAACUUAUGAGCAAAAAGACGAGAAAAGAGAUUUGUGCAGAAAAGGAAGUGGUGUGCCCAUCCAUUGUUUUUGAACAAUAUGCAAUUCAAUGCUACAAGGAAAAUAAAACACUAAAAGUGUCAAUAAAAGAAGUUGUGCUCAAAGGAAAUUGGGCAUCAAAGAUAGUGAUGAAAAGUAUUAACUAAAAACACUGUUAGUGGCAUUAUUUUCUUCUGUUUCCAUGUGUAUGUUGACCUAUAAACUGAACAACUCAA